This is a long non-coding RNA of Oncorhynchus tshawytscha (Chinook salmon), 320 nucleotides long. The record is from Ensembl. NCBI's taxonomy places the organism in Eukaryota, Metazoa, Chordata, Actinopteri, Salmoniformes, Salmonidae.
GAAAGAGAGAGAGAGAGAAGGAAAGAGAGAAAGAGAGAGAGAAGGAAAGAGAGAGAAGGAAAGAAGGAAAGAGAGAGAGAGAAGGAAAGAGAGAGAGAGAAGGAAAGAGAGAGAGAGAAGAAGAAAGAGAGAGAGAGAGAAGGAAAGAGAGAGAGAAGGAAAGAGAGAGAGAGAGAGAGAGAGAGAGAGAGAGAGAGAGAGAGAGAGAAGGAAAGAGAGAGAGAGAGAGAGAGAGAGAAGGAAAGAGAGAGAGAGAGAGAAGGAAAGAGAGAGAGAGAGAGAAGGAAAGAGAAGGAAAGAAGGAAAGAGAGAGAGAGAGA